RNAcentral lists this unclassified non-coding RNA (1453 nucleotides) under Onthophagus taurus. RNAcentral's name for it is "uncharacterized LOC111428183, transcript variant X1". Lineage: Eukaryota; Metazoa; Arthropoda; Insecta; Coleoptera; Scarabaeidae. The record is from RNAcentral.
ACUGACAUCUAACAUCGAUGUUUUUCCUAACCUUAAAAAUUAAAUAAAAUAAUUUCGAAUUUAAAAAUGAUGUACCCCGUUCCUGCCGGUUAUUCAAGCGACGAGGACGAUUACGAUUAUUACAGCUGUAAUAGCUUCUCAACACCAGCGUCCGUUAAACGUAACCUCAAAAUCGAAGAAACCGAUGAAAUAAAGGUUUAUAGAGCGUGUAUUGGGGGUCGAUUUGAUGAAGUUAAGGAGAUUUUAGAUCGAGGUUAUGAUGUUAAUUCGAAAUUAAAAGAGGAUUGGAGCUUGCUGCUUUUAGCAGCGUCAAUUGGAUCCCCGGAUAUUGUUCAAUUAGUUCUUGAAAGGGGAGGUGAUCCUAAUUAUAGUAGAGAUGGUUAUACGGCUUUAAUGGCAACAUCUUCUUGUACAAAAGAAACAUGUUCAUAUGAGCAAUCUUACAAAACAUUAAAAAUACUUUUAAAUGCUGGUUGUGAUCCUACAAUGAUUAAUAGGAAACGAAUGACAGCCCUGAUGUAUGCCUCAUCUUAUGGAAAUUGUUUAAUUGUUGAAGAAUUAUUGAAAUGUGAUAAUAAGGAAGUGGAAGAUAAUCAGGGGUGGACUGCUCUUUUUUGGGCAAUUGAUUCAAACCAAGUGGAUGUUGUUAAAAUGUUACUUAAUGAUGGUUUUAUUUGUGAUAAAAUGGAUAUAAGAGGUGAAACACCUACUCAAAUAGCUUUAAAACAUGGAUAUGAAGAAAUUGUUAAACUUUUACCUUCCAUAGAUGUACCUUAUGAAAAUCUCACGUGUUAUACACAAGAAAGUUUUAAUGAUUUCUUUAAUAAAGGCUGUACAUUAUUUUUAAGUGAUGUUUGCGUUAUUUUGUACGGAAUGAAUUCUGAAAACGCAAUUGAUAAAUUUAUUACAUCUAGAAUAAGCUUAUUAGAAUUUUUACAUAUAAAUGAGGAUGGUUUAAAAAAAAUUGGGGUUAAUAUGCCUUAUGAACGGUACAGGAUUUUAAAUGCUUGGCAAAUGUGGGAACCUCAAUUUUAUCGGCUUGCCGACAAAUCGUAGUAAUGAACGCAUCAUUAAAAUAUUUAAUAGAAAACGUAAACGAAUCUGAGUUGGAAAGGUUUAAAAAAGAAAUUUUAUCUUUGAAUCAGCAAGUGGAGAAAAUUGAAAAGGUUGUGGAAGUGUUAAAUAAAAAGUGUUUAUUAUGGGAUAAAAAUAAUUACUCACCUGAUUUAAUUUCAUCUUCUUCUAUAAGCAAAAUCAAAUCAAUGUUUUGGAAAAAAAUUAUUUAUAGUUUUGGGUUCCUCUCAGUUAUGGGUUUUUUUGUUUUCAAAUCAAGGUUAUUUGUUAAUUAAUAAAAUUAAAGAUAUAAAACAGAAAGAACUUCAUGUUUUGUUACAACCUUGCUACUUUUAUAGUAUUUUUAUUUUAAUAAUAAUAAAUGGGUUAACAAUUUAAA